AAUAACAGGUCUGUGAUGCCCUCAGAUGUCCCGGGCCGCACACGUGCUACAUUGAUUAGCGCAGUGCGCAUACUUUCAAUAUGAUACAUUAGAUUGGAUUGUUCUGUUGAGCUCCAUCUAAUACUAUCCGGCUUGAGAAGGCUGGGUAAUCAAUUGUAAGUGCUGGUUCCUCCUCCCGUUGAGCAUUUUAAUAAUGGCCUCUCUACAUCCCUAGCAAUAUGCCUAGUGCGAUUGUAGUUGAGCCUUGCCAUUUAUGCAAGUGUCAAUUCUCAGUGGGGACAGACAUUUGAUAAUUCUUUGUCUCGUUCUUAACUAGGAAUGCCUUGUACGGGUCUUGGUUCAACAGACCACCCGGAAUACGUCCCUGCCCUUUGUACACACCGCCCGUCGCUCUUACCGAUGAAUUUCCCUGWGAGUUUGAAGGACUGAUGGUUGCAAAAUCAUUGGAAAUUCUGUC
Molecule: ribosomal RNA, 457 nt
Filed under: Globigerinella siphonifera
Lineage: Eukaryota; Foraminifera; Rotaliida; Globigerinidae
Description: partial 18S ribosomal RNA
Rfam family: Eukaryotic small subunit ribosomal RNA
Source: RNAcentral